AACUCUGGACUCCAGGCUAAGCCAGAUUGUGAAUAGAGUAACCCCCUUCCCCACUACCACGUGGCUGCAGUGCCUUCGUUUUGGCGGAAACUGAAGAAAAAUUUCUCAAAACGAUUGACAGCCAGCGCGCCAGAGUAAUUUAUUCAGAUAUAGAACAUUAGUCUUGAAAUAAAAAUCCAAUCUGGAUAGUCCACUUAGUAUCACAUAUUUGUUAAACACUCUUGAUUGUAAUUUGCAAAUAAAAAUAUAUAAAAGGAAUCUUGAUGUAAGACUGGAUAUUUGUAUAGAGGCACAUAUAAUAGCUAAGCUUGGGUAUAUCCAUUUACAUAACAUUAGACCUGACAUAAAAAUCCAAUUUGUAUAGUCCAUUAUAUUUCAUAGAGGUUUGAGCCCACAGAUACACCUAUGGAUAUCCUCAUGAAUUUCAUGUGACGGGAUAAAAAUUAAAUAUGGAUAAUCAUCAAUAUUACAUAAUUAUGAGGCACUCUUAAACGUAAUUUAUAAAUAAAAACAUCAAAAUUAUUUCUAUUUUAAAACUGGAUUCUCCGAUAAAAACUAACUUCUACUGUAGAAUUUCA
Molecule: long non-coding RNA, 578 nt
Organism: Cotesia glomerata
Lineage: Eukaryota; Metazoa; Arthropoda; Insecta; Hymenoptera; Braconidae
Exons: 3
Source: RefSeq, a predicted model, not a curated record